Molecule: ribosomal RNA, 1051 nt
Filed under: uncultured organism
Description: bacterial SSU rRNA
Rfam family: Bacterial small subunit ribosomal RNA
Source: RNAcentral
GAGUGGCGCACGGGUGAGUAACACAUGGCUGACCUGCCCCUCAGAGGGGGACAACCACCGGAAACGGUGGCUAAUACCCCAUACGCUCGCCGUGAUUAGCAGGCGGUGAGGAAACCUUCGGGGCUGAGGGAGGGGGCUGUGGCCCAUCAGCUAGUUGGUAGGGUAACGGCCUACCAAGGCGAAGACGGGUAGGGGGCCUGAGAGGGUGACCCCCCACACGGGCACUGAGACACGGGCCCGACUUCUACGGAAGGCAGCAGUGAGGGAUAUUGCCCAAUGGACGGAAGUCUGAGGCAGCAACGCCGCGUGCGGGAUGAAGGCCUUCGGGUUGUAAACCGCUUUUCUGCGCGAAGAGGAAGGACGGUAGCGCAGGAAGAAGUCUCGGCUAACUACGUGCCAGCAGCCGCGGUAAAACGUAGGAGGCGAGCGUUAUCCGGAUUUACUGGGUGUAAAGCGCGUGCAGGCGGUCAUGUAAGUGGUGCGUGAAAGCGCCCGGCUCAACCGGGCGAGGCCGUGCCAAACUGCGUGACUGGAGGCAGGUAGAGGCGCGUGGAAUUCCGGGUGUAGUGGUGAAAUGCGUAGAUAUCCGGAGGAACACCAGUGGCGAAGGUGGCGCGCUGGGCCUGACCUGACGCUAAGACGCGAAAGCAUGGGGAGCGAACGGGAUUAGAAACCCCGGUAGUCCAUGCUGUAAACGCUGCAGACUAGGUGUUGCGUGCGACGAGUAUGCAGUGCCGAAGCCAACGUGAUAAGUCUGCCACCUGGGGACUACGGCCGCAAGGUUAAAACUCAAAGGAAUUGACGGGGGCCCGCACAAGCAGCGGAGCGUGUGGUUUAAUUCGAGGCUACACGAAGAACCUUACCUGGGCUUGACAUGGCGGUGGUAGGGAACCGAAAGGGGACCGACCUUCGGGAGCCGUCACAGGUGCUGCAUGGCUGUCGUCAGCUCGUGUCGUGAGAUGUUCGGUUAAGUCUGGUAACGAGCGCAACCCUCGCCGUUAGUUACAAGUGUCUAACGGGACUACCCGUGGAACGCGGGAGGAAGGUGGGG